GCCGAAGUGGCGGAAUUGGCAGACGCGCAGGCUUCAGGAGCCUGUGACCUCUUCGGUCGUGGGGGUUCGAAUCCCCCCUUCGGCACCA
Molecule: transfer RNA, 88 nt
Filed under: Planctomycetota bacterium
Lineage: Bacteria; Pseudomonadati; Planctomycetota
Description: tRNA-Leu
Rfam family: tRNA
About the family: Transfer RNA (tRNA) molecules are approximately 80 nucleotides in length. Their secondary structure includes four short double-helical elements and three loops (D, anti-codon, and T loops).
Source: RNAcentral